UUAACCUACGGGGGGCAGCAGUGGGGAAUAUUGCACAAUGGGCGCAAGCCUGAAGCAGCGACGCCGCGUGCGGGAUGGAGGCCUUCGGGUUGUAAACCUCUUUUGUUCAGGGGCAAGACACGGUCUUUGGCCGUGCUGUGUGGAUUGUUCGAAUAAGCACCGGCUAACUACGCGCCAGCAGCCGCGGGAAUACGUAGGGUGCAAGCGUUAUCCGGAUUUAUUGGGCGUAAAGGG
RNAcentral lists this ribosomal RNA (234 nucleotides) under uncultured bacterium. Its description in RNAcentral is "partial 16S ribosomal RNA". It matches the Rfam family "Bacterial small subunit ribosomal RNA", at positions 334 to 567 of the family's 1533-position model. The record is from RNAcentral.